This 253-nucleotide ribosomal RNA is filed under the name uncultured bacterium. Its description in RNAcentral is "partial 16S ribosomal RNA". It matches the Rfam family "Bacterial small subunit ribosomal RNA", at positions 524 to 776 of the family's 1533-position model. The record is from RNAcentral.
UACGUAGGGUGCAAGCGUUAAUCGGAAUUAUUGGGCGUAAAGCGUCCGUAGGUGGCUAGUCAAGUCUGCGGUCAAAGACUGGGGCUUAACCCUGGAAAGGCCGUGGAAACUGACGAGCUAGAGUGCAGUAGGGGUAGAGGGAAUUCCCGGUGUAGCGGUGAAAUGCGUAGAGCUCGGGAAGAACAUCGGUGGCGAAAGCGCUCUACUGGACUGCAACUGACACUCAGGGACGAAAGCUAGGGGAGCGAAUGGG